Molecule: long non-coding RNA, 2036 nt
Filed under: Equus asinus (donkey)
Lineage: Eukaryota; Metazoa; Chordata; Mammalia; Perissodactyla; Equidae
Description: lncRNA (ENSEASG00005031683.1)
Source: RNAcentral
CAGAAGUGUGCCUGGGAAGAAACCCCACGGUGGAGAUGAGAGGCCAAAGAGUGGGUAGGGCGAAUGAGGAAAAGCAGCAAAGUGUACUCCCUCACAGAGAGGCAGAGAAGUGCGUUAGAACCCUGGGGAAGCAAGCUGGGAACCUCCCUCGAAGCCUGUCUGUUUCACUGUGCUCUCCUUAUCAUAGACACCUGCCACAGGGUUUGGCAUUUCCCCUUUUCUGAUUGGCUGCCUCCCCAGGGCCCGGGCCUCAGUGCUGGUGGCCCUCUGGGGGUCGGGAGCGCAUAAAUAGUUCCUGCUGGGGAAACUGGGAAACUGGUCUCAGACAAGAGGAACAGACAUCUCUGCCACGCACUGCUGCCUGGAGCUGCAUGGGGUCCCAGUGCUGCCAGCGUGUCUUCUGUGUAUCGCCCCAUGCACCUCUGCCUCAGCCACAGCCCUUCCCCGCAGCAGCUCCCGCGGCCUGGCCUGGUAGAGCUGCAGCCCCAGGCCUCCUUCUACUCCUUCCUGGGCCUGGAAAGGCUGGACCAGGACUGCCAUCCACCCUGCUGGCCCCCAGGCUGGCAGCCCUGGAAUGCUCAGGAGGGCCUGCCCCAGCUGAUUCAAUCUGUAAAACAACCAGGUGGUUAACAGCGUAAAGCUAGAAGCAGCCAAACACACUGGCUUCCAGGGCCGCUCUGAACACAGCUGCAGCUUCCUCAUCUGAUAAGUAACGCUUUCGUAACUGCACCUGUUUCCUCCUGCUCCCUCUCCAGCCUUCUAGCCCUGCCUCCAUUAAGGGAUGAUCAGGAAUAGAUAACAUCCAUGCCCAUCUUCCUCUACUUUAUAUGCGGGAUGCCUACCACAGCAUGGCUUGAUGAGCGGUGCAAUGUCCGCACCUGGGAACCGAACCCGCGGACCCCAGGCCACCAAAGCGGAAUGUGCGCACUUAACCACUGCACAACCGGGCCGGGGGUUUUUAUUUAAUGGGUAUUGAGUUUUCAUUUUUCAAGAUGAAAAAUUUCUAGAGAUCAGGUGUACAACAAUGUGAAUAUACUUAACACUACUGAACUGUGCACUUAGAAAUGGUUAAGAUGGUAAGUUUUGUGUGUAUUUUACCACAACUAAUUUUUUUUUUUAAAAAAAGAACACAACUUUUGCUUAAUUUGGCUUUUUCUCUUGGUGCUUGGAAUUGAGCAUUGGUGUUGCUGGUUGUGUAGUAAACAGUUGUAGGUUCACCUCUUAAUGAAUGUUAAAGACUUUGUACAUUAAAAGGUGACCGUGGAAGGGAAAGGAAUUAUACAGCACACUUAUGGUGUUGUUCUACUGAGGGACAGAGUACCUUUCAAACGGAGUAUCUUCCCAGGUUCAUAGCACUGUGUGUCAUACACGCAGCAAACACAAUGAUUGUAGAGGCACAUUUUGGGAAAUGAGCUCAAAGUUAGGAUGGGAUGGGGAUUGUUAAACCUCUCACUGAGACCUUAAUCACUGUGACCCCCUUCUUUUAAUGGUCUAUCCUUCAUCAGGUACUUAAAAUUACUCACAUAGUUUUUGUAGCACAAGAGUAUUUUCAUCGUAGAAUGUGAAAAUACCUUCAACAAUAAUCUAGAGACAGUCCAAAUUCAGUGUCAAGGAAUUUAGUGCCGGCGAUGAGCCUGGUCAUGCUAUCAGGCAGUAGGCCUUCUCUAUAGAUAAACCCACGCCAUGUCUAAAUUCUCAAGCAUUACUUGCUCACUUUCUCUCUCCCGUUUGUAUUCUUUGUGCCUAGAAAUGACCAUGACAGAGAGAUGCCCAGAUCACUGACCUUUGCAAACAAAACUUUGGAGCCUAAGAGAACUAUAUUAACCCAGUUCUUACUGAUUUCCUCUUUGGGGGGGAAGUUUGAUUGCUUUCCCACACCAAAGAAGUUUAGAGAAUGUGCCAGUGAAUGGGUGCCUACUCUCACCUGGGCAUGUGUGCGUGUGUUGAUACCCAAGAAGUGAGUUUACUAUUUGGUUGGGCAAAGAAUCAAUGAACACGAUUUGUAUUGAGCCUGUAACGUGUGUGACUUAUUUUUU